AGUCGAACGGGGACGGAGGUACUUGCUCCCCCUGAUCAGUGGCGAACGGGUGAGUAACACGUGAGUAACCUGCCCCAGACUCUGGGAUACAUCGGGAAACCGGUGCUAAUACCGGAUAUGAGACGAGACUGCAUGGUCAUCGUCUGGAAAGAUUUAUCGGUCUGGGAUGGACUCGCGGCCUAUCAGCUAGUUGGUGAGGUAAUGGCUCACCAAGGCGACGACGGGUAGCCGGCCUGAGAGGGCGACCGGCCACACUGGAACUGAGACACGGUCCAGACUCCUACGGGAGGCAGCAGUGGGGAAUAUUGCACAAUGGGCGCAAGCCUGAUGCAGCAACGCCGCGUGGGGGAUGAAGGCCUUCGGGUUGUAAACCCCUUUUAGCAGGGAAGAAGCGAAAGUGACGGUACCUGCAGAAAAAGCGCCGGCUAACUACGUGCCAGCAGCCGCGGUAAUACGUAGGGCGCAAGCGUUGUCCGGAAUUAUUGGGCGUAAAGAGCUCGUAGGCGGUUUGUCGCGUCUGCUGUGAAAGUCCGAGGCUCAACCUCGGAUCUGCAGUGGGUACGGGCAGACUAGAGUGUGGUAGGGGAGACUGGAAUUCCUGGUGUAGCGGUGGAAUGCGCAGAUAUCAGGAGGAACACCAAUGGCGAAGGCAGGUCUCUGGGCCAUAACUGACGCUGAGGAGCGAAAGCGUGGGGAGCGAACAGGAUUAGAUACCCUGGUAGUCCACGCCGU
RNAcentral lists this ribosomal RNA (732 nucleotides) under uncultured bacterium. RNAcentral's name for it is "bacterial SSU rRNA". It matches the Rfam family "Bacterial small subunit ribosomal RNA", at positions 60 to 803 of the family's 1533-position model. The record is from RNAcentral.